GCCCAGAUAGCUCAAUUGGUAGAGCACGUCCUUGGUAAGGACGAGGUCGUCGGUUCGAGUCCGAUUCUGGGCUCCA
RNAcentral lists this transfer RNA (76 nucleotides) under Rariglobus hedericola. RNAcentral describes it as "Opitutaceae bacterium 53C-WASEF tRNA-Thr". It matches the Rfam family "tRNA". Rfam says of the family: Transfer RNA (tRNA) molecules are approximately 80 nucleotides in length. Their secondary structure includes four short double-helical elements and three loops (D, anti-codon, and T loops). Further hydrogen bonds mediate the characteristic L-shaped molecular structure. tRNAs have two regions of fundamental functional importance: the anti-codon, which is responsible for specific mRNA codon recognition, and the 3' end, to which the tRNAs corresponding amino acid is attached (by aminoacyl-tRNA synthetases). tRNAs cope with the degeneracy of the genetic code in two manners: having more than one tRNA (with a specific anti-codon) for a particular amino acid; and 'wobble' base-pairing, i.e. permitting non-standard base-pairing at the 3rd anti-codon position. Lineage: Bacteria; Pseudomonadati; Verrucomicrobiota; Opitutia; Opitutales; Opitutaceae. RNAcentral also lists the same sequence under 2 other names. The record is from RNAcentral.